Non-coding RNA from Rhipicephalus microplus (southern cattle tick), 82 nucleotides. The record is from the annotation of a RefSeq genome assembly. Lineage: Eukaryota; Metazoa; Arthropoda; Arachnida; Ixodida; Ixodidae.
GCAGUCGUGGCCGAGUGGUUAAGGCGAUGAACUAGAAAUCCAUUGGGGUCUCCCCACACAGGUUCGAAUCCUGUCGACUGCG